This 1105-nucleotide ribosomal RNA is filed under the name uncultured bacterium. RNAcentral's name for it is "bacterial SSU rRNA". It matches the Rfam family "Bacterial small subunit ribosomal RNA", at positions 244 to 1354 of the family's 1533-position model. The record is from RNAcentral.
GUUUGUUGGUGAGGUAAUGGCUCACCAAGACGACGACGGGUAGCCGGCCUGAGAGGGCGACCGGCCACACUGGGACUGAGACACGGCCCAGACUCCUACGGGAGGCAGCAGUGGGGAAUAUUGCACAAUGGGGGAAACCCUGAUGCAGCGACGCAGCGUGCGGGAUGACGGCCUUCGGGUUGUAAACCGCUUUCAGCAGGGAAGAAGCCUUUCGGGGUGACGGUACCUGCAGAAGAAGUACCGGCUAACUACGUGCCAGCAGCCGCGGUAAUACGUAGGGUACAAGCGUUGUCCGGAAUUAUUGGGCGUAAAGAGCUCGUAGGUGGUUGGUUACGUCUGCUGUGGAAACGCAACGCUUAACGUUGCGCGUGCAGUGGGUACGGGCUGACUAGAGUGCAGUAGGGGAGUCUGGAAUUCCUGGUGUAGCGGUGAAAUGCGCAGAUAUCAGGAGGAACACCGGUGGCGAAGGCGGGACUCUGGGCUGUAACUGACACUGAGGAGCGAAAGCAUGGGGAGCGAACAGGAUUAGAUACCCUGGUAGUCCAUGCCGUAAACGUUGGGCACUAGGUGUGGGGGACAUUCCACGUUCUCCGCGCCGUAGCUAACGCAUUAAGCGCCCCGCCUGGGGAGUACGGUCGCAAGGCUAAAACUCAAAGGAAUUGACGGGGGCCCGCACAAGCGGCGGAGCAUGCGGAUUAAUUCGAUGCAACGCGAAGAACCUUACCAAGGCUUGACAUACACCAGACCGUUCUGGAAACAGUUCCUCCCCUUUGGGGUUGGUUUACAGGUGGUGCAUGGUUGUCGUCAGCUCGUGUCGUGAGAUGUUGGGUUAAGUCCCGCAACGAGCGCAACCCUCGUUCUAUGUUGCCAGCACGUGAUGGUGGGAACUCAUAGGAGACUGCCGGGGUCAACUCGGAGGAAGGUGGGGAUGACGUCAAAUCAUCAUGCCCUUUAUGUCUUGGGCUUCACGCAUGCUACAAUGGCUGGUACAGAGAGAUGCGAGACCGCGAGGUUUUAGCGAAUCCCUUAAAGCCAGUCUCAGUUCGGAUCGUAGUCUGCAAUUCGACUACGUGAAGUCGGAGUCGCUAGUAAUCGCAGAUCAGCA